CACCAAGAGAUUAGUUUAGGUAAGAAUGAUGAUCUACUAGCUGAUUUGAUAAAAGAAUUGAUUAUUAUUUUGAUAGGAUCAGAGAUUUGUGUAUCACCUAUUGAGAGUUAGAAAGAGAAAGUUAGACAAAGAUAAAGAGAAAGAGGAGUAAGGAUCAGAGUAGCGCAGCGAAAGCUGUGGAAUUCAAGAAUAGGUUGAGGUCUUGAUGGUUUCUUUGUUGUUUUUAACAUUCGAGGACGAAUGUUUUUGUAAGGGGGGUAGAUUGUA
Molecule: long non-coding RNA, 267 nt
Filed under: Manihot esculenta (cassava)
Lineage: Eukaryota; Viridiplantae; Streptophyta; Magnoliopsida; Malpighiales; Euphorbiaceae
Description: long non-coding RNA (MESC_LNC000353)
Source: RNAcentral